CCUACGGGUGGCAGCAGUGAGGAAUAUUGGUCAAUGGGCGGGAGCCUGAACCAGCCAAGUCGCGUGAGGGAAGACGGUCCUAUGGAUUGUAAACCUCUUUAGGCGGGGAGCAAUGCCGGGCACGCGUGCCCGGAGGGAGAGGACCCGCAGAAUAAGCAGCGGCUAACUCCGUGCCAGCAGCCGCGGUAAUACGGAGGAUGCGAGCGUUAUCCGGAUUUAUGGGGUUUAAAGGGUGCGUAGGCGGAUUUUUAAGUCAGCGGUAAAAUGUCCGGGCUCAACCCGGGCCGGCCGUUGAAACUGGGGAUCUUGAGUGGGCGAGAAGUAUGCGGCAUGCGUGGUGUAGCGGUGACAUGCAUAGAUAUCACGCAGAACUCCGAUUGCGAAGGCAGCAUACCGGCGCCCGACUGACGCUGAGGCACGAAAGCGUGGGGAUCGAACAGGAUUAGAUACCCCUGUAGUC
Molecule: ribosomal RNA, 460 nt
Filed under: uncultured bacterium
Lineage: Bacteria
Description: partial 16S ribosomal RNA
Rfam family: Bacterial small subunit ribosomal RNA
Source: RNAcentral